AUGUUCCACCCUGCACCAUCUUCUUCAGUGCCACAAAUUGCUUCCCAGCUACAAACCACAUCUAAUCAGGCACUUGAGCUACCUCCCCCACUAGAUAUAAGCGUCAACGACUAUGUAAGUUCUUCCGACCCAGUGAGCCCACAACAGAACAAUGCAAACCCUAACUCAACAACUGGGUAUAAUUUGGUGGCCUCUCCACUUUUGGUCAACUCUCGCGGCAAUGAUUUGACCAUCAAUGACCCAUUUGGGUAUGAAUCAUGGGGUUAUGGCCUAUCGGAUCAACCAUUCUACAAUGGAUUUCUAGAGAUGGGUGCUUACAUGGGCUAUAAUGGUGUCGAUGUAGGACAAUCUUCUGUGGGAAAUGGUGGAUGGGUUGAUGCGCCACCGGAAUCUUCUUCUAGCUAG
RNAcentral lists this ribosomal RNA (405 nucleotides) under Triticum aestivum (bread wheat). RNAcentral's name for it is "partial small subunit ribosomal RNA". The record is from RNAcentral. Lineage: Eukaryota; Viridiplantae; Streptophyta; Magnoliopsida; Poales; Poaceae.